This 253-nucleotide ribosomal RNA is filed under the name uncultured bacterium. Its description in RNAcentral is "partial 16S ribosomal RNA". It matches the Rfam family "Bacterial small subunit ribosomal RNA", at positions 524 to 776 of the family's 1533-position model. The record is from RNAcentral.
UACAGAGGGGGCAAGCGUUAUUCGGAAUUAUUGGGCGUAAAGGGCGCGUAGGCGGCCUGGCAAGUGGAAGGUGAAAUCCCUCGGCUUAACCGAGGAACUGCCCUCCAAACUGCUUGGCUUGAGUCCGGGAGAGGUGAGUGGAAUUCCCAGUGUAGAGGUGAAAUUCGUAGAUAUUCGCAAGAACACCAGUGGCGAAGGCGGCUCACUGGCCCGAUACUGACGCUGAGGCACGAAAGCGUGGGGAGCAAACAGG